AGAUCCAUCACCACCGCCGGCACUUGUUGGUAUUUUUCCGGCGGAGACAAAACGAUCGCAGGUACUGUGUACAAACGCAAAAAACAUCUACGAGCUCUUUUACAUAUUAACUUUAGCUAGUUUAAUUGAAAUAAUUAUUUAGCAACACUAUUACAGGUUGUAAAAUAUACAAAUACUGAAUUUGUGGGUUUGUGGAUUAUUCAAGUUUUGUUUAUUUCACAAGUUAUUGCAGUAAAUGUAACUUAGUACAAGUACCUACACUUUUCUGAGAAUAAAAAACAUGUACCAAAUAACUACAAUGGGUUCUUAUUUUAUUAAUCAUACUACAAUAGUGUUAAAUGUUAAUUUUAUCUUCAGACUUUUGUUGCAGAAAUUAAUUAAAUGUUUUUAUUUGAAAAUUUGAUUUGAAAUCAGUAAAAGUAGUAUUUCAUUAUUCUCACUAAUGAAAACAUUAUUCUCAUGUUCACAUACGUGUAAUGAUGUUUUAUAGUUUAAUAAAAAAAAUACUUAAAACCACAUAUUUUUUAAUAUAAAAGUAUUUCUUAUGUAUUUCUUUUUAACUAGACAAGACCCCUAUAAUGCAGAAUCAACCAGUCUCUCAAUCCUGGAGCUGUUUGUCCAACAGUGAAGACCCAAGACCAGACUUCAGAAUGAACAGGAACUCUCCUGGAGUCUUCCUGAACCUCCUUGAUCAGGAUCGGUGACAUUGGCAUUCUCCUGCAAGUGCUGGAGCUGCAUCACACUUCUGUACCUCAUGUUGUCACAGCGUGUGCCAUCCUCCACAACAUCUGCCUCUGUGCUGACGACACCGAGGCCCCAGAGGAAGAUGUGGAGGUGAUGAUGAUGAGGACGCUGGUUUGGAGGUCACAGUGAUGCUCUCUGGCAGGACCAACUACCGGCUGAGGUUUCUGCCCUGGGGGAGGUACCACCUUGAUUACUGCAUCCGUCCACAGCCAGCCCUGCAAACCCUGAAGAUGGACGAUGCCGUCUACAGUGAAGAUGCAUCCUGAAAUUCAAUCACCACCCAGAAAGUUCCAGCCCGGGUCUCAGUUGAAGCCCCCCCCGUCCAUGUCGACUAUCUUUGUAAAUAGUUGGAAAUAAAAGUUACAAUUAAUCCAUGACAA
Molecule: long non-coding RNA, 1124 nt
Organism: Oryzias melastigma (Indian medaka)
Lineage: Eukaryota; Metazoa; Chordata; Actinopteri; Beloniformes; Adrianichthyidae
Exons: 3
Source: RefSeq, a predicted model, not a curated record